GCCCAUGGAAGAAAGGUGGCCUCUACCUGUAAGCUAUCGCCUGAAGAGGGGUUUGCGUCUGAUUAGCUGGUUGGAGGGGUAACGGCCCACCAAGGCGACGAUCAGUAGCCGGUCUGAGAGGAUGAACGGCCACACUGGAACUGAGACACGGUCCAGACUCCUACGGGAGGCAGCAGUGGGGAAUCUUCCGCAAUGGGCGAAAGCCUGACGGAGCAACGCCGCGUGAGUGAUGACGGCCUUCGGGUUGUAAAACUCUGUGAUCCGGGACGAAAAGGCAGAGUGCGAAGAACAAACUGCAUUGACGGUACCGGAAAAGCAAGCCACGGCUAACUACGUGCCAGCAGCCGCGGUAAUACGUAGGUGGCAAGCGUUGUCCGGAAUUAUUGGGCGUAAAGCGCGCGCAGGCGGCUUCCCAAGUCCCUCUUAAAAGUGCGGGGCUUAACCCCGUGAUGGGAAGGAAACUGGGAAGCUGGAGUAUCGGAGAGGAAAGUGGAAUUCCUAGUGUAGCGGUGAAAUGCGUAGAGAUUAGGAAGAACACCGGUGGCGAAGGCGACUUUCUGGACGAAAACUGACGCUGAGGCGCGAAAGCGUGGGGAGCAAGCAGGAUUAGAUACCCUGGUAGUCCACGCCGUAAACGAUGGAUACUAGGUGUAGGAGGUAUCGACCCCUCCUGUGCCGGAGUUAACGCAAUAAGUAUCCCGCCUGG
RNAcentral lists this ribosomal RNA (706 nucleotides) under uncultured bacterium. Its description in RNAcentral is "bacterial SSU rRNA". It matches the Rfam family "Bacterial small subunit ribosomal RNA", at positions 192 to 876 of the family's 1533-position model. The record is from RNAcentral.